This is a regulatory RNA element of Nomascus leucogenys (northern white-cheeked gibbon), 49 nucleotides long. The record is from Rfam. NCBI's taxonomy places the organism in Eukaryota, Metazoa, Chordata, Mammalia, Primates, Hylobatidae.
GGGAAACAGGCAGAGGGGCCAGCCUAAGGCCCCGCAACCAACUGGGGCA